CACGUAGGGCGCAAGCGUUGUCCGGAAUUAUUGGGCGUAAAGAGCUCGUAGGCGGUCUGUUACGUCUGCUGUGAAAAUCCGGGGCUUAACCCUGGGCUUGCAGUGGAUACGGGUAGACUAGAGGCAGGCAGGGGAGAAUGGAAUUCCCGGCGUAGCGGUGAAAUGCGCAGAUAUCGGGAGGAACACCGGUGGCGAAGGCGGUUCUCUGGGCCUGACCUGACGCUGAGGAGCGAAAGCGUGGGGAGCGAACAGG
RNAcentral lists this ribosomal RNA (253 nucleotides) under uncultured bacterium. RNAcentral's name for it is "partial 16S ribosomal RNA". It matches the Rfam family "Bacterial small subunit ribosomal RNA", at positions 524 to 776 of the family's 1533-position model. The record is from RNAcentral.